CGACGAGGCUGGGAUCCUGGUGCUGCUCCAGUAACAGAAGGAAGUAGAAGUCAAGCAGUGAGUGAUGGCAGCAGAGCUUGUCAAUGCAGGAUCACAGAAAAUCUGGCUGACAACGCUUUGCUUCUGAAACCCUUGGAUGCUUUUCAUCUAGGCUGCAAAGAAUCUCGCAAGCUGGAAAAAAUUCACAAGCCAGCCCUUGUGUCACCUCUAAUAGCUUGUUCUUCUUUUAAUAAAAUUAGCUUGUUGUUGUUGUGUAUCACAAACGUACCUGUGAGUGUUUUGAUUGGCACAGGGGGGCUGUUUUGCUAUUUUCAUAAAAAUCCCUUCCUUCUUUUAUUUUAAUGAAAUAUAAAUAAAAUAAAUGGUCAUUCCCAUAUGUGAAAUCCACCCAGGGUGUUCCUAGACAAGGGGACAUACAUAUUUAUAUGUUUCAGGGAGCUCACAUGGAUAAAUCUUUACUUUUCCCUUGGUCCUUUGACAAAGCUGUUCAGUUUGUGGUGUUGUCAGAGGAGUUGGGUUCAGUCACAGCUUGGUUGCACAGUGUGUAAUGUCCACAUCAAUGCUCCAUGGCAUGUCGACCCUCCCUCUGCUCCCCUCGCCUCCCAAUCCUCUCCAUCAUGAGGUCCCCUUCUGUGCCUAAGCGUCCAGACCUUCCCUGUGCAGCAGAAUCCCAUGCAGAAGCCAGACUGGCAGCACAAAUCCCAAA
Molecule: long non-coding RNA, 706 nt
Organism: Mauremys reevesii (Reeves's turtle)
Lineage: Eukaryota; Metazoa; Chordata; Testudines; Geoemydidae
Exons: 2
Source: RefSeq, a predicted model, not a curated record